Molecule: transfer RNA, 74 nt
Filed under: Uraeotyphlus gansi (Gansi caecilian)
Lineage: Eukaryota; Metazoa; Chordata; Amphibia; Gymnophiona; Ichthyophiidae
Description: tRNA-Pro
Rfam family: tRNA
About the family: Transfer RNA (tRNA) molecules are approximately 80 nucleotides in length. Their secondary structure includes four short double-helical elements and three loops (D, anti-codon, and T loops).
Source: RNAcentral
CGGGAAGUAGUUUAAAAAGAGAAUUUUGGCUUUGGGUGCCAUAGGUGAGGAUGAAAAAUUUUCCUCCUUCUUGA